CAGCAGCCGCGGUAAUACGUAGGUGGCAAGCGUUGUCCGGAAUUAUUGGGCGUAAAGGGCUCGCAGGCGGUUUCUUAAGUCUGAUGUGAAAGCCCCCGGCUCAACCGGGGAGGGUCAUUGGAAACUGGGAAACUUGAGUGCAGAAGAGGAGAGUGAAAUUCCACGUGUAGCGGUGAAAUGCGUAGAGAUGUGGAGGAACACCAGUGGCGAAGGCGACUCUCUGGUCUGUAACUGACGCUGAGGAGCGAAAGCGUGGGGAGCGAACAGGAUUAGAUACCCGCGUAGUCCCUGUCUCUUAUAC
RNAcentral lists this ribosomal RNA (301 nucleotides) under uncultured bacterium. RNAcentral describes it as "partial 16S ribosomal RNA". It matches the Rfam family "Bacterial small subunit ribosomal RNA", at positions 509 to 807 of the family's 1533-position model. The record is from RNAcentral.